This 253-nucleotide ribosomal RNA is filed under the name uncultured bacterium. Its description in RNAcentral is "partial 16S ribosomal RNA". It matches the Rfam family "Bacterial small subunit ribosomal RNA", at positions 524 to 776 of the family's 1533-position model. The record is from RNAcentral.
UACGAAGGGUGCAAGCGGUACUCGGAAUUACGGGGCGUAAAGGGUGCGCAGGCGGCCGAGUGGGUGAGGCGCGAAAGCCCGGGGCUUAACCCCGGAAUUGCACCUCAAACUACACGGCUAGAGCAUUGGAGAGGGUAGCAGAAUUCACGGUGUAGCAGUGAAAUGCGUAGAUAUCGUGAGGCAUAGCAGAGGCGAAGGCGGCGCCCUGGGCCAAUAUUGACGCUGAGGUGCGAAAGCGUGGGGAGCAAACAGG